Molecule: long non-coding RNA, 1960 nt
Filed under: Nicotiana benthamiana
Lineage: Eukaryota; Viridiplantae; Streptophyta; Magnoliopsida; Solanales; Solanaceae
Description: long non-coding RNA (NBEN_LNC020499)
Source: RNAcentral
AAAGAAGUGCUGGAAAAUAGUUACAGAGUGAAGGAUUUCAUACAAAAGGGAUUUAGGGAUUAGGAACUACAAAGAGCCAAUGUACUUAGGCAUUAGUUGAUUCUGGGCAUGUACAGCAAUAGGGAUUUCUCUUAUGCUUGCAAAAUCAACCAGAAUACACAACAUAUGAUGGUAACAUAUAGGUUAUGAUCUAAGGAAAAUCAAGUUUGAGUCAUAGACAACAAUACUUAAUACCGUCAUGCCUCAAACAAGCCAUCAGUAUCGAACAUAUUGGGGUAGGGGUUUAGGAUGCAUAAUAGAUUCAGAACAGGCAGAAGGGAAUUACAACAUGCUUAGAAUAAAGUAUUGAAUUAAACACAAGCAAUAGGGAGACAAGAAAACAAAAGUAUAAAGUAGACAUAUUGUUUGUGAUGCUGAAAUCUUAAUCAGGACAUACACGUUAAAAGAAGAAAAAUUAUAGUAAAAAGCAGGUAGUAGGACUUCGAAGACAGGCUAUAGUACAAGUAAUAAGACAAAAUUCUUUUUGUGUAUGAGUGAUUUUAGAACUCAGAGUGUUUGCGUGAGUGUGUUAAUGAAAAGGCAGGUAUUUAUAGUUUGAAAAUAGGUAGAAAGUAAGGAAAGAAUCAUAGUUUAGUAGUAAUUAUGGAACUAUGCACCAAUUAAAAUCAAAUCAGUAUAAGACUUCCUUUAAUUAAGGAGUUAAAAUUAAACGGUAAUGGGUAGAAAACAGUUAAGGAAAGAAAACAAAUAGAACACCAGGUAUAGAAUGGAAAAUUAGGGGUAAGUACAUAGGGGUCCCAUUAUAUAAACAACUAUUGCAGAAUCAAUGAAGAUACCCAAUUAACAAAAUAAGGUAGGAAACACAAUAGAUUUGAAAAAUACGGAGAUAAUCAACUCCCAAUAAAUCAAGGAGUCAGGGAUUCGAAAUUAUUGAUUUUGGAGAGAAUAUCAUGGGUUCCCAUGGAUAAAUAAAGUCAAUAGCUGAUGAACUUAUCGAAACAUGGGAGUUACAUAGGUCAAUUUCACCAAAUCAGUAAUAGAGAAAAGAGAGAGUAUCAGAAGCAUCUAAUAGGUCAAGUAAAAUGACCUUUCUGAAAAAUAUAGUAGAAUUUCAAUGGUAGCGAUAAGUCAAAAUCAUAUAAAGAAAUAGAGGUUGAAACAAAAGAUUUCGAAAUUCAGUCGAGCAACAGAUGAAACAACCUUAGAAACUCGAAUAGGUCCCAAGCAAAUUAGGUUUUGAAACCAAUCAAAUUCAGAGCAUGAAAAACAAGUAAAUCACAUAGCAAAUAGUCUCAGAACUUGAAUGAACCCCAAAUUUUAGGGUUUUCACCAUCAAUCAAGUAUAGAGAUGAAAAACAAGUAAAUCAGAUAGAGAUACUAACAAAACAAAAUUCAGAAAUCUCAAAAAGGUUAAGGCCCUUAACAUACAAACUCAAGUGAAAGAACGACAUAAGGAAUCACAAUAGAACAUGUAGAAAAAUUAGAGAAAGCUUCGAAAUAACUUAACGAAACCCUAAAUCGGACAAGAUAAGGGGUUUUGAAGGUAAAGUUUCAGAAGAAACCUUGAGAAAAAAACGUUUAGAAGUUUAGAGCAAACACAUAUCUAAAUAGAUAUGAACGAAAUUAGAACAAUCUCAAAGACUAGGGUUUUAGUGGAAACCCAGAUAGUAUGAAAGGAUUGGAAAAACGUCGAUCUAAGCAGGAGAAGUCAAGAAGCAGGCUUGAAUAGCCAUGGUCGGCCAGAGCAAGGUUAAAGAUGACUAGAGACAGCCGUAAAAACUGAGAUCGACCAAAGUCUGGGCCAAGAUUCUUGAAAAUCUGGCCUAGAAACCAUAGUACUCUAACACACAUAAGCCAAGUGGGGGUGGAUACAGGCCUACAACGGCUUUAGAAUCAAUGGAUUUGGGAGAUUUUCAGAAGGUGGCUGAAGGCGGCGGCUGGGGUUUGAGAGGGGUCUGAG